RNAcentral lists this ribosomal RNA (480 nucleotides) under uncultured bacterium. RNAcentral's name for it is "bacterial SSU rRNA". It matches the Rfam family "Bacterial small subunit ribosomal RNA", at positions 38 to 532 of the family's 1533-position model. The record is from RNAcentral.
GGGGCGGCGAGCCUACACAUCGGCAGUCGAACGAGAAAGUGGAGCAAUCCAUGAGUAAAGUGGCGACCGGGUGACUUUUUCGUGACCAAUCUACCCUUGAGUGGGGGAUAACCUCGCCCUUCCGGGGCUAAUACCGCAUAACAUCCUCGGAGCGGAAGUGCUGGGGAUCAAAGGAGCAAUUCACUUAAGGAGGAGGUCGCGGCUGAUUAGCUAGUUGGCGGGGUAAUGGCCCACCAAGGCGAAGAUCGGUAGCCGGCCUGAGAGGGCGCACGGCCACACUGGAACUGAAACACGGUCCAGACUCCUACGGGAGGCAGCAGUGGGGAAUUUUGCGCAAUGGGGGAAACCCUGACGCAGCAACGCCGCGUGGAGGAUGAAGUCCCUUGGGACGUAAACUCCUUUCGACCGGGAAGAUAAUGACGGUACCGGUGGAAGAAGCCCCGGCUAACUUCGUGCCAGCAGCCGCGGUAAUACGAGGGG